Long non-coding RNA from Myotis myotis, 898 nucleotides. RefSeq lists it as uncharacterized. The transcript has 4 exons. The record is from RefSeq and is a predicted model, not a curated record. NCBI's taxonomy places the organism in Eukaryota, Metazoa, Chordata, Mammalia, Chiroptera, Vespertilionidae.
GCCUGAGGUACAAGCGUGACUCACCCUGGGAAGUCCAGAACCUGUUUUGGUUUAAAGUGUAAUUUGGAAAAAUAUCUUGUACCCUGAUGGAUUAACACUUGCCCUGACUGAUAAGCACCUGUACCAUUGACGUAAUUGAUGGAUUUAUACCUUGAAUCCCUGUACCUGAUUGGUAAGUACCUGGAUUGCCGUGAGGUAAACCGUCUGGCUAUAAUAACGGGUCCCGAACCUCAGACAUCGAUCGACUUGAUCUGAAGCUCCCCUGCCCCGUGCCAGACAGAAGACGGCUGCUACCCGAUCGAGCCGCGACCGAACUUCGGGAGACCUAGGGCGGUGCAGCUGCGAACUCUGUCUCCUGACCCGACAUCGCCAGCUACCAGUCGGCACCACAACUGCCUUCAGGGGAAGCCACAGUUUAGGAUCCCGUCAAGCCUGUACCCACAGCACCAAGAAUUUGUAAAAGAUCUAACUGCAGGAUGGUGUUAUACUUAAUGCUUCCCUCUGAGGGCCAACUCUCUCCAUUCACUAGUUGGUACGGACGAUGGAGGCCAGGCCUGAGGGCAAAAACAACCAGGUGCUUCUUCUUUAAGAGUAAAAAAAUCUUUUGAAGAUACUGAAACAUUUGCAGGUGAAAUUACAUGCCUAAGAUUUGCUUCAAAAUAACCAGAGAGCCAGUUGUUGGUGGUUGAGAUUUGAAUGGAACAAGACUGGUUAUGUGUUCUCGGGCACAAGUGGCCUUCCUUUCCUGCUGAGGUGCAUGGGUACAGCAGACCGUUCUCAGCCACUCAUCGGCCAGUCUUCUCUGGGCCUUUGAGAGAACAGAAGGUGGUAAGUCUGGUUGGGACUAAUAUACAUAGUAGUUGAGGCUAUGCAGUCACUGAAAGAGAAGCAGAUGUCU